RNAcentral lists this ribosomal RNA (827 nucleotides) under uncultured bacterium. RNAcentral describes it as "bacterial SSU rRNA". It matches the Rfam family "Bacterial small subunit ribosomal RNA", at positions 36 to 838 of the family's 1533-position model. The record is from RNAcentral.
CUGGCGGCAGGCCUAACACAUGCAAGUCGGACGGAAACGACAAGAACAAUCACUUCGGUGUGCGUUUUUGGGCGUCGAGUGGCGGACGGGUGAGUAACGCGUGGGAAUCUACCCUUUAGUUGGGGACAACAUAUGGAAACGUAUGCUAAUACCGAAUAUGCUCUACGGAGUAAAGGUGCCCUCUCCUUGGAAGGUAUCGCUAAAGGAUGAGCCCGCGUUAGAUUAGCUAGUUGGUAAGGUAAAGGCUUACCAAGGCGACGAUCUAUAGCUGGUUUGAGAGGAUGAUCAGCCACACUGGGACUGAGACACGGCCCAGACUCCUACGGGAGGCAGCAGUGGGGAAUAUUGCACAAUGAGGGAAACCUUGAUGCAGCCAUGCCGCGUGUGUGAAGAAGGCCCGAGGGUUGUAAAGCACUUUCAAUUGUGAGGAAGAUUAAGUAGCUAAUACCUGCUUAGUUUGACGUUAACUUUAGAAGAAGCACCGGCUAACUCUGUGCCAGCAGCCGCGGUAAUACAGAGGGUGCAAGCGUUAUUCGGAAUUACUGGGCGUAAAGCGCGCGUAGGCGGACUGUUAAGUCGGUUGUGAAAGCCCUGGGCUCAACCUAGGAACUGCAUCCGAUACUGGCAAUCUAGAGUUUAAGAGAGGGAAGUGGAAUUCCAGGUGUAGCAGUGAAAUGCGUAGAUAUCUGGAGGAACAUCAGUGGCGAAGGCGACUUCCUGGCUUAAAACUGACGCUGAGGUGCGAAAGCUUGGGUAGCGAACGGGAUUAGAUACCCCGGUAGUCCAAGCCGUAAACGAUGUCAACUAGCUGUUGGCCUUAUUAAAAA